Long non-coding RNA from Peromyscus californicus insignis, 774 nucleotides. RefSeq lists it as uncharacterized. The record is from RefSeq and is a predicted model, not a curated record. Lineage: Eukaryota; Metazoa; Chordata; Mammalia; Rodentia; Cricetidae. The transcript has 4 exons.
CCGUCCGUCCGUCCGUCCGUGCGGGUGCCGCACCGCCACGCCUCCCGGCCCGGGGCCGCGCAACGGGGCCGCGCGCGCGGCCAGCCGCCACCAGGAGCGUUAGCAGCCACAGACCUCUUUUGAAGCCGUGGACAGCCUGCCCCCCAACUCCAAAGACACAUGGGGUAUUUUUAGAGAUGGAAGGAAAGCAGCCUGUCUCCGGGGACCCAAGAUGAGACAUGAAAUGAUGAAAUCCCGGCCACAGUACAGAAGGAUGUCGGUGUCUGUCUGCAUACACUGAGGUAUUUUCUAGAUUGCCAGACACUUAUCGAUGGACUUAAGUCAACAACCCGUGGUCACCAAAGGAUCAGGGACAGACACCUUACGAUUCAAGGGCCUCCAGAAGGCAGCGGAUGACGCUCGAGCCAGGAGUCUAGAGACACGGCUUUACACGUCAACUUCUCCUACUCUCGCUGGGAACCUAAGACCUGGGAACUUUUCAGCGUUACAGUCUGUUAUCCGGGUACCACGUGGAAGUACCAGCUUCUGGAGCCAGACGUGACGGGCCGCACCUGUAAUCCCAGAACCCAGGAGGCAGACACGGAAGAACCGCUGCAGCUCGAAGCAGGCCUGGUUUGCACAGUGAGCCCCGGGGCCAGCAAGACCCAUAAGACCUGUCUCCACUGGCUUUCAAUUUUGUGACCAGUUAUAAGUACAAGAAAAAUGGCAUAAGUCAUGUUGGUCAACUCAUUUAAACUUACGUAUACAUUUUCUAAUAAACACUGAUAAACUUUC